Molecule: long non-coding RNA, 2563 nt
Filed under: Sus scrofa (pig)
Lineage: Eukaryota; Metazoa; Chordata; Mammalia; Artiodactyla; Suidae
Description: lncRNA (ENSSSCG00030044922.1)
Source: RNAcentral
UUUUUUUAGGGCCACACCUGAGGCAUAUGGAGGUUCUCAGGCUAGGGGUCAAAUCCGAGCUGUAGCCCCUGGCCUACACCACAGCCACAGCAACGUGGUAUCCAAGCCACAUCUGCAAUGCUAGAUUCUUAACCCACUGAGUGAGGCCAGGGGUUGAACCUGUGUCCGCAUGGAUGCUAUUCAGAUUAGUUUCUGCUGAGCCAUGAUAGGAACUCCAAGCUUGAAGGUUUCAAAACCCCUUCAGUGCAAUGGAGAGGGUGGAGUCUUGAGACUCAGCAGAGCAAGGGCAGAAACACUAUUUCCAAUUUGUGCCAGGCAUCAUGGUACAGAGGACAGAGCUGGACUUAGUCCUGGACUCUCAUCCAGCUUCACCCCUUACUAGACCCGUUGUCUUGGGCAAGUGCCUUAACAUCUCAAGUCUAGCUUCCUUUUUUGCAUCAUAAAAUUUUUGUUUUCUCCUUUUAGGGCCACACCCACAGCAUAUGGAAGUUCCCAGGCUAGGAGUCAAAUGGGAGCUGCAGCUGCCAGCCUACGCCACAGCCACAGCCAGGCCAGAUCUGAGCCUCAUCUGCCACCUACAUUGCACCUUGCGGUCAUGCCAGAUCCUUAACCUACGGAGCAAGGCCAGGGAUGGAACCCACAUCCUCAGAGAGACCACAUUGUGCCCUUAACCUGCUGAGCCACAGUGGGAACUCCUGCAAUAAAGUUAUUAACAUUUAUCUCAUAGAGUCAUUGUGAAGAUAUUAACAAAAUAUAUGUAGGGUACUCAACAUACGUCAAUUUUUUAAAAUGUAAAUUCCCACCCCCAAUUUCACUUCUCUCUGUUGAGUGUACAUAUUUUAGGGUUUAAUCUGCACCAUGUUCCUUUUACUUCUGAGAAGCUCCAGCACCGGGGUGAGCCGCAGCAGCCAGAGGAAUACUACACAACCCUCCCUGUUCACUUGGUCACAGUGGGGGCCAGGGGCCCAGAAGUGGUCACUUGACCCAAACUGGGCCAAUCAGAUUGAUUUUGCAAUAGGGCACAAGACACCUGUCAGACUCUGCUGGGUGCUUGAGCCAGCAAGCAACACAUUUAAGGGUCAAGAUUACUUGAGGGAACAAAGGAAGGAAGGAAGGGAGAGAAUGAGGGAGGAAGCGGGGAAAGAAAGGUUCCCAUGAGGACUUGGGUUCGAUCCCUGCCCUUGCUCAGUGGGUUAAGGAUCCGGCAUUGCCGUGAGCUGUGGCGUAGGUUGCAGACGCGGCUCGGAUCCUGCGUUGCUAUGGCUCUGGCAUAGGCUAGUGGCUACAGCUUUGAUUCGACCCCUGGCCUGGGAACCUCCAUAUGCCGAGGGUGCGGCCCUAGAAAAAAAGACAAAAAAUAAAAACAAAACGAGUUCCUUCACACCUCACCUUAAUUCCACCAGCAGCUAACCCAGGUGUUGGGUGCCUCUCCUGAGACCUUUGCCUGAACUGUCCGGGCUGAAGGCCUGACUGAUGUCACCACAUCACGAAGGAUCUUUCCCGUGGUCUACCCCUGACAGGGCACCCUCUGGGGACGAGCUCAUUAGGGGGCAGGGAAGAAGAAGGACCCUGCCGAGACAGGCCCGUGCUGGCCAGGAAUGGCCUCCAUUGGCUCAGCCAGAGACUAACAGAGGGGUGUGACUGCCUCAAGGAACAGCGAUGACUCGGUGGUGCCCACUGAGGGGUCCUAACGAGGAUGCUCCAGGCAACAUGGAAGACCUCCCAGUCCAUUCUGUGGAGGCAGGGAUGGGAACAACCUCGAGGAUCCCGUGCUGUUCUGGUGCCCCGCCAUGGAGGCCAUCUGCCAAGGCUGGCCUCUGAUCUGGGGCUCCCGCACCAGCUCCUCCAUCUCUGCCGUCCUGCCCCUUGCCCUGCCUACCUUCAUCCCACCUCCUGGCUGCUGCCACCACUUCUUAUUCAGUCUUGGCUUCUGCUCUCUGCUCUCUUUCCGUGUCUUUUGGCUUCUGGCCUUGCAAAAACAGAGCUCUGCCUCUCUCCGGAGGCUCCCUCUCAAACCCCGAGAGAGAGGCCGUGUUGGCUCCGUUGGUUACUGUUCUCCACGCUGCCUCCCAAGCCACCGGGCCGCCCGUGAGGUGGGCUGCCUUUCCGUCAGGUGCACGCCUGAAUCCACCAUGCAAGGGUGGGUCACCCAGCUGGCUUUAUUCUAGGAGGGACUGUGGCAUUGCAGCUCUCACGGCAUGACAUAUCUUUCUCCAAAAUACAUGGGGAAGGAGCAAAUGAGAUGGUGGAGGUGAAUAUGCUUUGGCAAGUACAGUGGGCCUUGCUGGCACAAAAUAUGUAUUAUUGAUAACAUGAGCAAGGCCAUUAGGUCACUAUUCAUGGAGGUUUUGCUCCCCUCGGACUUGCUGGCCAAGGGCAGUGGUUAGUUACCAAUAGCCAUGGUCGCUGAUUCCCAAACCCUCUCCAGGGAAGUUGCUGGAACACCCAGCCCCCCCUCCGCCCCCUCCCACUAGGGCUGCUUCAUCGAGAAUCCUCCUUACCUGCUUCCCUGCUGCUGCAGCUCUGGGCACUCAGGGAGCUCCCGACAAGGCUCACAGAUCCC